GUGUACUUAGCUCAAUGGUUAGAGCAUCACUCAUGAAUGCUGAGGUUGUGGGUUUGAGUUUCACAGUGAACA
Molecule: transfer RNA, 72 nt
Filed under: Puccinia sorghi
Lineage: Eukaryota; Fungi; Basidiomycota; Pucciniomycetes; Pucciniales; Pucciniaceae
Rfam family: tRNA
About the family: Transfer RNA (tRNA) molecules are approximately 80 nucleotides in length. Their secondary structure includes four short double-helical elements and three loops (D, anti-codon, and T loops). Further hydrogen bonds mediate the characteristic L-shaped molecular structure. tRNAs have two regions of fundamental functional importance: the anti-codon, which is responsible for specific mRNA codon recognition, and the 3' end, to which the tRNAs corresponding amino acid is attached (by aminoacyl-tRNA synthetases). tRNAs cope with the degeneracy of the genetic code in two manners: having more than one tRNA (with a specific anti-codon) for a particular amino acid; and 'wobble' base-pairing, i.e. permitting non-standard base-pairing at the 3rd anti-codon position.
Source: Rfam by way of RNAcentral